GAGUUUGAUCAUGGCUCAGAACGUACGCUGGCGGCACGCCUAACACAUGCAAGUCGAACGAAGUAGCAAUACUUAGUGGCAGACGGGUGAGUAACAUGUAGGUAUCUGCCCUUUGGCCUGGAAUAACACGAGGAAACUUGUGCUAAUACCGGAUAAGUCUUUACGGAGAAAGCUUUAUGCACCAUUGGAUGAGCCUGCACUUGAUUAGUUUGUUGGUGGGGUAAUGGCCUACCAAGACUGUGAUCAAUAGCUGAUUUGAGAGGAUGAUCAGCCACAUUGGGACAGAGACACGGCCCAAACUCCUACGGGAGGCAGCAGUGGGGAAUCUUGCACAAUGGAGGAAACUCUGAUGUAGCGAUGCCGCGUGAGUGAAGAAGGCCUUUGGGUUGUAAAGCUCUUUCGUCGGGGAAGAAAAUGACUGUACCCGAAUAAGAAGGUCCGGCUAACUUCGUGCCAGCAGCCGCGGUAAUACGAAGGGACCUAGCGUAGUUCGGAAUUACUGGGCUUAAAGAGUUCGUAGGUGGUUGAAAAAGUUAGUGGUGAAAUCCCAGAGCUUAACUCUGGAACUGCCAUUAAAACUUUUCAGCUAGAGUAUGAUAGAGGAAAGCAGAAUUUCUAGUGUAGAGGUGAAAUUCGUAGAUAUUAGAAAGAAUACCAAUUGCGAAGGCAGCUUUCUGGAUCAUUACUGACACUGAGGAACGAAAGCAUGGGUAGCGAAGAGGAUUAGAUACCCUCGUAGUCCAUGCCGUAAACGAUGUGUGUUAGACGUUGGAAAUUUAUUUUCAGUGUCGCAGGGAAACCGAUAAACACACCGCCUGGGGAGUACGACCGCAAGGUUAAAACUCAAAUGAAUUGACGGGGACCCGCACAAGUAGUGGAGCAUGUGGUUUAAUUCGAAGAUACGCGCAGAACCUUACCAACACUUGACAUGUUCGUCGCGACUCUAAGAGAUUAGAGUUUUCGGUUCGGCCGGACGAAACACAGGUGCUGCAUGGCUGUCGUCAGCUCGUGUCGUGAGAUGUUGGGUUAAGUCCCGCAACGAGCGCAACCCUCACUUUUAGUUGCCAUCAUUAAGUUGGGCACUCUGAAAGAACUGCCAGUGAUAAGCUGGAGGAAGGUGGGGAUGACGUCAAGUCCUCAUGGCCCUUACGUGUUGGGCUACACACGUGCUACAAUGGUAUCUACAACAGGAAGCAAGACUGCGAAGUUAAGCAAAUCCCUAAAAGAUACCUCAGUUCGGAUUGCACUCUGCAACUCGAGUGCAUGAAGCUGGAAUUACUAGUAAUCGUGGAUCAGCGUGCCACGGUGAAUGCGUUCCCGGGUCUUGUACACACCGCCCGUCACACCAUGGGAGUUGGUUCUACCUUAAGGCAAGGUUUCAAACCCUUGACCACGGUAUAGUCAGCGACUGGGGUGAAGUCGUAACAAGGUAACC
RNAcentral lists this ribosomal RNA (1435 nucleotides) under uncultured marine bacterium. Its description in RNAcentral is "bacterial SSU rRNA". It matches the Rfam family "Bacterial small subunit ribosomal RNA". The record is from RNAcentral.